CAAAACCCCCCCUGUGGUUUCGUAAUUUCUCACUUUACCCCCUCUGUAGUUUAAAAUGUAUCAAUUUGUCCCCUUGUGGUUUCUUUUUUCUCUUUUUCUUAUCAAUUUUAUUAUUAUUUUUUAAAUCAGUGAUAAAGUUAAAAUUAAAGGGUACUAAAGUGAAUAUUUGAUAAAUCUAGAUGGGUAUCUGAAAUUUUUUUUAUAUAAUUUAAUAAAAUAUUAACGAAAAAGCUACCGAAAAGAUAAAAACGAAACCACAUGGGGGCAAAUUGAUACACUUUAAACAACAGGGUACUAAAGUGAAAAACAAUGAAACCACAUGGGAGGUUUUGAAGUUUUCCCUUUUUAGUUUUUAAGUUUUGCAAGGCCAAAAAGUAUAAUAUUUGAAGAAAAAAAUAAAAAUAUUUUGGAAUUUUUUGAUCUUUCGAAACAUAAAA
This 437-nucleotide long non-coding RNA is filed under the name Ananas comosus (pineapple). RNAcentral's name for it is "long non-coding RNA (ACOM_LNC018445)". Lineage: Eukaryota; Viridiplantae; Streptophyta; Magnoliopsida; Poales; Bromeliaceae. The record is from RNAcentral.